This 346-nucleotide ribosomal RNA is filed under the name uncultured bacterium. Its description in RNAcentral is "bacterial SSU rRNA". It matches the Rfam family "Bacterial small subunit ribosomal RNA", at positions 1 to 353 of the family's 1533-position model. The record is from RNAcentral.
CAAGAGUUUGAUCCUGGCUCAGGAUAAACGCUGACAGAAUGCUUAACACAUGCAAGUCUAUGAGGAAGUUUAGCUUGCUAAAUGGACUCAUGGCGGACGGGUGAGUAACGCGUAAAGAACUUGCCCUUUAGACUGGGAUAACAGAGGGAAACUUCUGAUAAUACUGGAUAAGUUAGUAUAUCGCAUGAUAUGCAAAUGAAAGCUACGGCACUAAAGGAGAGCUUUGCGUCCUAUUAGCUAGUUGGUAAGGUAAGAGCUUACCAAGGCGAUGAUAGGUAGCCGGCCUGAGAGGGUGGACGGCCACAAGGGGACUGAGAUACGGCCCUUACUCCUACGGGAGGCAGCA